CAGUAACUAAAAAAACAGCUGUUUAGUGUUACGUCACGAAACGUUUACCAACACUAAACAGUGCGCACGCCUUCUGUUACCGCUGUUGCUGCCCAUCCCUGGCUGUCUAGCCAGACCUGGAUCCAAACAAAAACGAAGGCAUCGGAUCAUGGAAGCCACUAAGGAUCCGCCUUCGCAGCCGCCGCCGCCUUUCAGCCGUGCGCCGCGCGCGCAGUCUCCUCCCGUCGCCGCCGAACAAGAUCCGCCAGAGAUUGCGUGGGAGCCCGGGACUACAUCGCAUUCCAGCCGCAAACGACAGCUGAGCCGCUUCCAUCCGUACCAUGGUUCUAAUAUACAGCUUGGCGACGACGCCACCGUGGCGUACCGCAGGGCUAGCUUUGCCGAUGCCCUCACUUUCUCGGAGCGCCCGCUGGCGCCCGGCGACAUCUUUCUGGUGGAGAUUGAAAAGAUAGAGCGCGGGUGGUCGGGACACAUGCGCCUGGGACUCACAGAACUCACACCCAAUGUGAUCCGGACCAGCAGUGAGGGCUUACCGCACUUCGCCCUGCCUGACCUGGCCAACCUGGGUAAUAGUUGGAUCUAUCCUAUCUCCAAAUUCGAGAUGAACCAGCGUCGUGCUCCUUCGAGCGACGAUGUUGGGACGGAGGCGGAAGGGGCGCCACAGAGAAACCUUCUGGGCGAUGCAACGCAUGUUAGAACCCCUCGCGGUCUCCUACCGAAAAGACUACUGCGGCCCGCCAUGGGAAACGGCCACGACUCGGAUAUCCUACUCACAGAUACCGGCUCACGCAUUGGAAUAAUAUACGUGCCCACGGUGCAAAGUACCACAAAGGGCGAGCUGCACUUUAUCAUUAACGGGGUGGAUCGGGGCCCCGUUUCGACAGACAUUCCCCUGAAUAGAGCCCCUCUGUUCGUCGUCAUAGACGUGUACGGCACCACCAAGCAAAUUAGGAUAAUCCAGCUGGAGGGCAUCCUAUCGCUCCAGAGCGCUUGCCGCAAUGUCAUCCUGGAGCACUUUUCGACGGACGCGAUUGCUCAACUGCCGCUUCCUGGGAGCAUCAAAAGAUUCCUGCUGCGCCGCGACUAGUGUUCCGUUUCAGGGAAAGAGAGUUAGCGGAGGCAAGAGUAAAGGGUGGGAAUGUGCAUGAGCGGGGUCAUGGUACGUCUAUAUAUAUUUUGUAAGUCUCCAGCAUAGCGCCAUUGAAGUGCCCAGAGAUUAUCACUGACCCCGCUCGAACUACGUCUUCAGUUACCGGUUUACUAGACACCAUCCUCCUGCGGACGAGACUAUGUUGAAGAGCAUAACCUCUAGGAGGGAACUUGUUCCAUUACCUCUAAGUAUAUUGUUGAUAAAUGUUAUAAAAAGUGGAUCAAGUCUUGGCAUCGAAAAGUAGAACUUCGAACUGAGAGUUUAUUGAAGCCGGGAUAACAUAUAGAUUAAAAUAAAAAUUUAAAUGGAA
RNAcentral lists this unclassified non-coding RNA (1460 nucleotides) under Drosophila ananassae. Its description in RNAcentral is "GF11573". Lineage: Eukaryota; Metazoa; Arthropoda; Insecta; Diptera; Drosophilidae. The record is from RNAcentral.